RNAcentral lists this ribosomal RNA (448 nucleotides) under uncultured bacterium. Its description in RNAcentral is "bacterial SSU rRNA". It matches the Rfam family "Bacterial small subunit ribosomal RNA", at positions 355 to 825 of the family's 1533-position model. The record is from RNAcentral.
UGAGGAAUAUUGCACAAUGGGCGAAAGCCUGAUGCAGCGACGCCGCGUGGGUGAAGAAGGUUUUCGGAUCGUAAAACCCUUUUCUGUGUGACGAGAACGGACGGUAGCACAGGAAUAAGUCUCGGCUAACUACGUGCCAGCAGCCGCGGUAAAACGUAGGAGACAAACGUUAUCCGGAGUUACUGGGCGUAAAGGGCGUGCAGGCGGCAGUCUAAGUCUGGCGUGAAAUAUCCCGGCUCAACCGGGGAAGGUCGUCGGAUACUGGGCAGCUAGAGGACGGUAGAGGCGUGUGGAAUUCCGGGUGUAGUGGUGAAAUGCGUAGAGAUCCGGAGGAACACCAGUGACGAAGGCGACACGCUGGGCCGUACCUGACGCUAAGACGCGACAGCAUGGGGAGCAAACAGGAUUAGAUACCCACGUAGUCCCUGAGCGGGCUGGCAAGGCGCAU